This 367-nucleotide RNase P RNA is filed under the name Acidobacteriota bacterium. RNAcentral describes it as "Acidobacteria bacterium (sponge metagenome) RNase P RNA component class A". It matches the Rfam family "Bacterial RNase P class A". Rfam says of the family: Ribonuclease P (RNase P) is a ubiquitous endoribonuclease, found in archaea, bacteria and eukarya as well as chloroplasts and mitochondria. The record is from RNAcentral. Lineage: Bacteria; Pseudomonadati; Acidobacteriota.
CUCAGAGACAGUCGGAGCCGCUGCCGGGUUCGCCCGGCGGAGGAAAGUCGGAACUCCAUAGGGCAGCGUGCUGGGUAACCCCCAGCGGGGGCGACCCCCGGGAAAGUGCAACAGAGAGCAGACCGCCACCGGCUUCGGCCGGCGGUAAGGGUGAAACGGUGGAGUAAGAGCCCACCAGUGCCCGGGGUGACUCGGGCAGCUAGGUAAACCCCACGCGGAGCAAGGCCAAAUAUGGAAGCGCUCGAGACCGGCCCGGUCGAGCUUUCGGGUAGGCCGCAGGAGGCGACGAGAGAUCGUCGUCCCAGAUUCAUGGUUCCGCCCGACCCUAGGUCGGGAACAGAAUUCCGCUUACACGUCUCUGAGCGUG